UACGUAGGGUGCAAGCGUUGUCCGGAAUUAUUGGGCGUAAAGAGCUCGUAGGCGGUCUGUCGCGUCUGCUGUGAAAACUCGGGGCUUAACCCCGGGCCUGCAGUGGGUACGGGCAGACUAGAGUGCGGUAGGGGAGACUGGAAUUCCUGGUGUAGCGGUGGAAUGCGCAGAUAUCAGGAGGAACACCGGUGGCGAAGGUGGGUCUCUGGGCCGUUACUGACGCUGAGGAGCGAAAGCGUGGGGAGCGAACAGG
Molecule: ribosomal RNA, 253 nt
Filed under: uncultured bacterium
Lineage: Bacteria
Description: partial 16S ribosomal RNA
Rfam family: Bacterial small subunit ribosomal RNA
Source: RNAcentral